UGCGUAAUUUUGUUUAAAUAAAGAAAAUUGUGAUAAAGUCAACAUCCUUUUCUAGUACUUGGGCUACUUGGAGUUAUCUCCCCUAGAAAAUUACCCACAAUACCUUCUCAUAUUAAAGAUGUCAGCCUCCAGUAGAUAAAAUGUCAAAAUGUAGUUUGUCAGCUUUUACAACCGAUAACUGUGGGGAAUCAAUUCACCACCCACUGGAAAUUGCUACUGUAGAACUAAAAACCUGUCAUCGAUCCAUUGAAAGCCAUUUAAGGGCACUAGGAGUACAACUGAUAGCUCAGAAAGUGUGAAGGAGGGAGAACUGAUUGCAUAUCGGGUUGGAUUUUUUGUUUUUCCAAGUUAUUACAGAGUAUGCCCAAGACACAGGGACAUUCUUGGCUUGCACUGGCGGACAAAGGCAUCAUGUCAGAACCCAAACCUUGUUGGAAAGGCAAAGCCAUACAGAUCAACC
This 460-nucleotide long non-coding RNA is filed under the name Mytilus galloprovincialis (Mediterranean mussel). The record is from RNAcentral. Lineage: Eukaryota; Metazoa; Mollusca; Bivalvia; Mytilida; Mytilidae.